RNAcentral lists this small RNA (171 nucleotides) under Caulobacter sp. K31. RNAcentral describes it as "caulobacter sRNA CC3513". It matches the Rfam family "caulobacter sRNA CC3513". Lineage: Bacteria; Pseudomonadati; Pseudomonadota; Alphaproteobacteria; Caulobacterales; Caulobacteraceae. The record is from Rfam by way of RNAcentral.
AUCCGCCUUGGGCGGGGCUCAGGCUGGGCGUUCGUUAGAGCGAACGGACCCGGCCGAUCCCGCGAGGCGAGGUCGGAUGAUGGUGGUGGCCGUGAUGAUGCGGCUGGCGGGUCAUUGUGGCGGGGCUAUAGCGGAUGAGGAGGGGUGGGGGAAGGGGCAGCAUCGGCAGAG